AAGGUUGCAAAAUGGCGAGGGGGGAGGUAAGCUGUCUUUGCUUGGCCAUCUUGGGCUAGCAGGCCUUGCAGAGAACUACCUUUUUAGCUGAGUGAAGGGAUCAACCUGAGUUGGAGUUCUCCUAUGCUGUGGCCAGAUCCACUAGAAAUUAACCCAGAAUCUUAGCCUCUCAGUGGCCUAUCGGUGAUGCCACACUCAAUCAGAAACUAUGCUACUGCUGAAGAGGUAUAUUGAGCCCUGCCUGGUUAACCUCCAGUGAGGUUAUUAGAGAAUUGGGAGAGGCUCAAAUCAGCAUCCUGCACCUAGUUAUCAAACCAUUGUGAAGUCUUGAUUCCUGGAUGGCCAGAAAACUUGUCAUUGGUCAAGAGCAACAUUAAGAUCUGCCUGUUACUCAUACUGAUGCUUCCUGCCCAGCAAGUUCAUCAGAGGGCGAGGAUGAAUUACGGUUGCCAUGAAUGUCCUUGUGAGGCAGUUGGGAAGCCUUGGCUGGAUUGUGAAGGAUAUUUGAAAAGUAUUUUAGAGUCCACCAGAUCAUCCAUGUGAGUGACCAUGCAGCAAAAGAAGGAGGGUCCUCUCAGUGAUUAAGGAUUAUGAAGUAUUAAUUCUUCCACUGAUAUCUCAAAAGGUGAUCUGGACAAAGGAACAGGUAUCUCAGCUUCCAAGUUUGCUGGAGCCAUGUUUUCUCUAAUGUCCCCACAGAACAGUGGUUGGUAGGAUGGCGGAGACAUGGACUUCAGAGAGUUCUUGGUAGAAGACUCAAAGAGCCACCUGUCAUGAGACAUCCCACUUCCUUCCCCAGGUUACUUCCAAGACUGAGCAGCCAGGUUUUUGGUAGAUGAGAACAAAUGUUUCUUCCUGAAGCCCUGGGGCUUCAGGUAGGAAGAAGGACUGCUAUACUUGUUCUCACCCUUGGCUUCUGGCUGCUCCAGUUAAACAUGGUUCCCAUUGAUACAGACAUUAGAGUGGGAAAGGACUUCGUUCAUAGACCGAAGACCCUCAAAGGAAAGUCCUUCCAUUUUGGGAAGGGUGACAUUGAUUUCGUUUAGCUGCUUAAGAUAUGUACUUGCUGUUGUCUUGUGAGACAUGACAUCUGAAGCUGAAGAGGAGUCCCUCUCAUUGUUGUCAUUGUCCCACCGGGACUGAAAGUCUCCCAGUUGAGGCAGCAUUUUAGCUUUGAUGUCUACAGGGCAAUCAUGGAUCAGGAAAUUUCUGCAAAUUAGACUUGGAAAACAAGGUCUUGAUCCUUCUUGUCUUUGGACGAAGACUAAUCAUCACUUUUGACUGAAGGUGUAGUGCUGGAGACUAUGUUGGAGGCAGCACCUGAUGCACUAUCCAUAUUCUUCCCCUUGAUCUUGUCUUAAAGUUUUCCAAAUGGAUUCCGAGGCUUGUCUUUGAUGAAAAGGUCAAACAUACUGGCAGUCAUGUUGUUUCUCAUAAGCUGGAUGUCAACCUCAAUUUCUCCUCUUUAUCCUUCUCUCCUGGUUUGGAUUUCAAGGUAUACCACCGCAUCUUCCUGCUCCCCUAGUCUGGGUGCAGGUCCUGCAGGUACACCUCGGCGAAGCCCAAGUACAGUAGCAGCAGCACCUCAAAGGUGGCCUCCUCCUCUGACACUGAGGUGGCAUACUUCUCCUUACCCACCUGAAUCACCGAGUACAUGUUGCUUGUACCGUCAGGCUCUUGGUUCUUGGCCCCUGGCCCUAUGCCUGCAACACUGUCACCUGCACGUGGAUUGGGAACCACAUAGCCCCCGGACCUGCUAAGGCCAUUAAGGACAGGAUGGUGAUGCCUCGGCUGACUGACGUGAGAAGAUUGUCAUGACCCAUGGCCUCUACUGCUGUCCUACCAACAGAAACUUCAUAAUGUUGUGCAGGCGUUACCACUACCUAGUUCCAGAACAUUGCCAUCACCCCCAAAAUAAAUCUUGCAUUCAUUAAGCAGUCACCCCUAUUUUCCCCCAU
Long non-coding RNA from Homo sapiens (human), 1958 nucleotides. Ensembl annotates it as FTX transcript, XIST regulator. Its record names the gene FTX. NCBI's taxonomy places the organism in Eukaryota, Metazoa, Chordata, Mammalia, Primates, Hominidae. The record is from Ensembl.